Molecule: ribosomal RNA, 495 nt
Filed under: Staphylococcus cohnii
Lineage: Bacteria; Bacillati; Bacillota; Bacilli; Caryophanales; Staphylococcaceae
Description: bacterial SSU rRNA
Rfam family: Bacterial small subunit ribosomal RNA
Source: RNAcentral
AAGUCGAGCGAACAGAUAAGGAGCUUGCUCCUUUGACGUUAGCGGCGCGACGGGUGAGUAACACGUGGGUAACCUACCUAUAAGACUGGAAUAACUCCGGGAAACCGGGGCUAAUGCCGGAUAAUAUUUAGAACCGCAUGGUUCUAAAGUGAAAGAUGGUUUUACUAUCACUUAUAGAUGGACCCGCGCCGUAUUAGCUAGUUGGUGGGGUAAUGGCUUACCAAGGCAACGAUACGUAGCCGACCUGAGAGGGUGAUCGGCCACACUGGAACUGAGACACGGUCCAGACUCCUACGGGAGGCAGCAGUAGGGAAUCUUCCGCAAUGGGCGAAAGCCUGACGGAGCAACGCCGCGUGAGUGAUGAAGGUCUUCGGAUCGUAAAACUCUGUUAUUAGGGAAGAACAAAUGUGUAAGUAACUGUGCACGUCUUGACGGUACCUAAUCAGAAAAGCCACGGCUAACUACGUGCCAGCAGCCGCGGUAAUACGUAGGUGG